GUAGGGAAUAUUGCACAAUGGGCGCAAGCCUGAUGCAGCAACGCCGCGUGCGCGAAGAAGGCCUUCGGGUCGUAAAGCGCUUUUCUGGAGGAAGAGGAAGGACGGUACUCCAGGAAGAAGGAUCGGCUAACUACGUGCCAGCAGCCGCGGUAACACGUAGGAUCCGAGCGUUAUCCGAAUUUACUGGGCGUAAAGCGCGUGCAGGCGGCCAGGUAAGUUGGACGUGAAAUCUCCCGGCUCAACUGGGAGGGGUCGUUCAAGACUGCCUGGCUAGAGGGCGGUAGAGGGAGGUGGAAUUCCCGGUGUAGUGGUGAAAUGCGUAGAUAUCGGGAGGAACACCAGUGGCGAAAGCGGCCUCCUGGGCCGCCCCUGACGCUCAGACGCGAAAGCUAGGGGAGCGAACGGGAUUAGAUACCCCUGUAGUCC
This 426-nucleotide ribosomal RNA is filed under the name uncultured bacterium. Its description in RNAcentral is "bacterial SSU rRNA". It matches the Rfam family "Bacterial small subunit ribosomal RNA", at positions 354 to 796 of the family's 1533-position model. The record is from RNAcentral.